CUCUCCCUCUUUUCUCUCAGGUGGGCGUCGCGAUGAAGUGGGCGUGGUUAUGGGCUUGUUUGUGGGCGGUCCUCGUUCCGGCGGGACUAGCCACCAAGUGUCGCCGCUCGCCCUUGAGCACUAACGCCCCGAAGACUCCGGGUGAUAAUUCUUUCAAGAUAAGCAUAAGUGGCAACCCUUCGAAGUAUUUUCCUGGGGAGGUCUAUACAGUGAGCCUUCAGGGAUGGCGCACGCAGUAUUCUGUUCAAAAGUUCAUCGGUUUCAUGCUCGUGGUGGAGCCCUCACACUCGCCAGUCGACAUCUUCGGUCCUCAGAGCGUGGGCACUUUCCAGCUGUAUGGAGACGCCCUGACAAUGCACUCGGAUGACUGUCCAAAUGCCGUUACUCAGACCUCGUCCAUUCUCAAGAGCGAGAUCCAAGUGCUGUGGACGGCCCCGCCAGCUGACUCCGGCUGCGUCACCUUCAGAGCGACGGUCGUUGAGACGAGAGACGUGUGGUACAUGGACGACGGCGAACUGACCAAGGAACUGUGCGAGGAAAUGCAAGAGAGCAAGAACAAGCAGCCGGAAAUCAUCCACGACUGUUUUGCUUGCGACGAGGCCAAGUAUGAGGUGACCUUCGAAGGCCUGUGGUCGCGCCACACGCACCCCAAGGACUUCCCGACCAACGAGUGGCUGACGCAUUUCUCUGACAUCAUCGGCGCCUCGCACUCCGCCAACUACCGCGUCUGGAAAUACGGCGGCUACGCUUCCGACGGCCUCCGCCAGGUGGCCGAGUGGGGCUCCACGCGCGCCCUCGAGAGCGAACUCAAGACCAAGAGUGACCACAUACGGACGAUCAUCAAGGCCCGAGGGCUCUGGUACCCCAACGUCAACGGCAAAACCUUCGCCGUGUUUCGGGUGGACAACAGGCAUCAUCUCAUGUCUCUGGUUUCCAUGCUGGGACCCUCUCCUGACUGGAUCGUAGGAGUGUCAGCGCUGGAGCUCUGUCUGAGAAACGGUUCUUGGUUGAAUGAGAAGACGCUCAACUUGUAUCCUUGGGACGCUGGCACGGAUUCAGGAGCGACGUAUGAGGCUGCAAACGCACCAACAAUUCCGAGGGAGAAAAUCCGUCGGAUCACCACCAGUUACCCUAACGACCCGAAGUCGCCGUUCUACGACCCGUCCGGACAAGACAUGAAGCCUUUGGCGCGAAUUACCAUCACUCGCCAGCGCGUCUACGAGAAGUCUUGCAGCGAAACCCCAGGACCCUAUGAAGAUGACGACAUCCCUGGCGGCUUCGAAGAGAGUGAUGAAGAUGCCAACAGACCGGAGUGUCAGGUCACCAGCUGGUCGCCCUUCUCCGCUUGCUCGGCCUCGUGCGGGAAGGGGCUGAGGAUGCGCACCCGCUCGUACUUGAUGUCUGUCAAGGCGGACAUGAUGGGAUGUAGGAGGCAGCUGGAGGAGAAGGAGAUGUGUUCGGCCCUGCAGCCCACGUGUCCCUUCGGCGGCUUCCAGGGCACUGGCGACGAGUAUCUGCCCGACUUCAACCGCAUGUGCGCCACCUCCGAAUGGUCGCCCUGGACGUCGUGCCCAGUCACCUGCGGCAAGUCUCUACGCAUGCGCAGUAGACGCUACGAGAAGCACAUGGACAGGAAGAAGUGCAGUAAGGAGCUGGUGGAGAAGGAGCCGUGCAUGGCAGACAUCCUGGAGUGCGACGAGCCAGAGGAACAGAUCAGCCCCGACUGCGCCGUGACCCAGUGGAACGAUUGGUCUCCCUGCACGAGGACCUGCGGGGAAGGGACCACAUCUCGUCACCGCGUCCCCCUGGUGCUGGGCUUCGAACACUGCAACGUGAAGACCAACGAAGUCAAGAAGUGCAGCGAGCGCAUCAACUGCAACAUCCACCCGUCCGAGAGAGAAGAGGUGUGCAUGCAGGAGAAGGAGGAAGGGCCUUGCCGCGCCGUCCUCAAGCGCUUCUACUACAACGUGGAUCACCAGCAGUGCCGCCAGUUCACCUACGGAGGCUGCAGGGGCAACAGGAACAAUUUCGAGACCUACGAUGAGUGUGCUCGGGCCUGCGAAUUCAAGCCUCACCCGGAUGCAGCACUUACCAUCCGCCCCACCAUCCCGACCCGGAACCGCGUAGCCGACGUCGACUGCCAGGUCAGCGAAUGGAGCGAGUGGAGUGCCUGCUCAAAGACCUGCGGCAAGGGAUGGGUCACCAGAACUCGGGAGAUCAGGGUCUUCCCUCAGCACGGUGGCCGCCCAUGUCCCAAGAAACUCAGAAGAAGACACAAGUGCACCAACCCCAAGUGCAACGACGGCUACAACGGCCUCCAGAGCAUGAGUCUCCACCGCGAGGAGGCGCUCGAGCCAUACCACGAGGAUAGCCACAGCUACCAGGAGCCGUACCGGGCCUACCCCGAGACCAGCCACCACCUCCGCCCCGAGACCGACCCUGCCUACGCCCAGACCAGCCACCACCUCUACCCGGAGACCAACCAGGCCUUCCGCGAGCCAGAGGAGCCCUACCAGGAGUCCUACCACAGCUACCAGAGCGGCUACCAGCCCCCCGUGCAGGAGCAGGGACCUGACCACCCCUUCCCGACGACCUCGUCCUACUACCCCUACGAGUACCUGGCGCCCUCGCUCUUCAACCCGCCUCCGCUCGGCGCCGCCGCCGAAGACACGCGCCCGGCGGUGGACGACGGAGAGAAGGUGGACUGCGCGAUGGGCGAGUGGGGGCCGUGGUCGCCCUGCACCCACUCGUGCGGCUCCGAAGCGCUCCAGCAGCGGUCGCGCACCGUCAUCGUCGAGCCCAGGAACGGCGGCAAGCAGUGCGACGACCGCUUGCAGCGCCGUUACUGCACGCUGCCCCCGUGCCCUCGCCCGAGGUACGUAGACUUCAGGUCCAUACCAUGGAGUAUAAAGUAUUAAAAAAAGCGAAAAAUGAAGUAUCAUACAGGAGGAAUAAGCAAAAGGCUGAGGAAACUCCGGCAACUCGACAGAGGGAACCCACCCGCGCACUCAUCCGCAACUCUGAGGACGAAAAGACACACAAAAACUCAUCAGAGACUGACCUUGGAUGACCUGUAAUGGCUGCAGUUAAUGAGCUAGUUUGUGGUUUUAAGAAUGGGACGUCGGGUUAAAGAGAGAGUGAUAAAAGAGGACGAGAGAAGAAAGAUGUAGUCGGGACAUGGCUAUUGCAUUUUUUUCUCUUUUUUCUUUUCUUUUUUCUCUUUCGUGAAGGAUUUAAAAAGGGGUUCAUGACGGAUAGGGUUAUAUUGGCCUUGUGAAGGAAUUUUAGAACGUGACAUAUCAUGUAAAAUUGAUAUUUUUGUAAUUUGUUUACAUACAUGUUAUAUCAAUCUAAUAACGUUAUUGAAAAAAAGUUAUAAAUCCUGCAACAAUAACAAAAACAAAUCCGAAUCUUAGAACAAAAACAAAAACAUUUUUAAUCCUGAAACAAAACCAAAAGGUCCUUCGAAUUAUCAGAAAAAAAAUCUCAUAACAAUAAGAUAUAUUUCGAACACAUUUCGAGUUCCACAACAAACAAAUUGAUUCUUACCCUAAUGGGACUUAGUGCUUGGAAACGGGUGAACACUGUCCCGCCCACAGCGCCCUCAUGCAAAGGCUCGGCAAGGAAAGGCGUGUAUAAGGCUUCCAGAUUAUAUAAGAAGACAAUGAGAAGGUAGACAAACAGAGUCGAAGAAAAAUGUAUUGGACAAAUGUACACUGACAGGUAGAGAAGAAAAAGGGAAAGGAUUAAGAGAAAGAUAUGGGAGCACGGGAAGGAAAGAAGAAAAAAGAAUAAAGAAAGAAGAAAUAAAGAAAAAGUACAUUAACUCGCCACUUCAAGUCUCGCCGUUGAACCAUUCUGCAUUUAACUUCUUCUUUUUUUUUUUUAGGACAUCCCUUCGAUAUUUUGAUUUUGAGUUGCGUCUCAGGUGAGGCGGUAUCCCUCCGCGAGAACCAUAUUUGUCACUCAUUUAUUGUACAUAGAUUUUUGGCCUUCCUAUUACCCCGAGCAGAGUGCACGACUGGCGAGGCUUACAAAAUGACCAUUGCGUUUGAGUCUCUUUUCUAUUAAGAACUCGUGUAUACGUCAGCUGCUAUAUGCACGACGCUCCCUAGAAUUUGUAUCAUAGUGAAUUUUAGACUUAGAUACCGGACGGCGGUGACUGUUCGUUCGUUCGUGUUUUUUUUUCUGAUUUACGUUUUUUAGGACGAAGCGAAGCAUAAUUGAAGACCUCUCCCUCGAGAUCCUCCCUCCGUCCCCCCUCCUUUCCUGAGGCGAAGGGACUCUUCGAUGGGACAAAGUCUUGGUCACGAGGCUCUCUUCAUGAACACACACACACCUACGCGAGGACGCUCGAGUGGUCAUUGCAAGUAACACAGAGAGGGCGAGCUCAGCCACAAACCCUCCUCGUCCGGUCAGGUCAAAACCGAGAGACUUUUCCAUACUCACAUCCAAGCACCGUCUGUGCACAUGGGGUAUUAGUUGUCGAUAGAUUUAUCUUUAAGUUUUACAAACGUUUCCUUUUCUCUUGUACUUUGGAUACACACAGAGACACUCAUAAGCCCUACAUAGCCCCUAGAGAAUCGGUGUCUCCCAGGUCACUCGUACCUACAGUGUUUAUAUAUUCCGUUUUCCUCACUUGAAACUUGUACUCGGUCACCCUCACCUGCAGAGACAAAUUAAACUCACAGUUCAUACCCAACAGCAACAGUUCACACCUAAGCCCCUUCCCUUACACUGGUCACACUCAGACCCCCUUCCCCCUAACAAGAGGUCACACUCAGACCCCCUUCCCCACUCCUCCCUUCCGACAAGAGUUCCUGACCCAAGGGCCCGACCUCCCGCCGAGUGCUAGCUCUAGUGACCCGUGUGUUUGAGCACAGGAAAAAAGUGCUAUAAUCAUAUCUUCUCCUUGAAGAGAUAUUGGAAUGUUUUUUUAUAGAGACUGUAUUCUCUUAUAUUUUUGUUUGUCUCUUCCGCAACAUUAAUAGACGUUUUAAGAUAAUUAGCAUCAGUUUGAUUUAAAUUAGUAAGAUUAAUGCCAGUGAUGUAAAAUUGCUCCGAGCUGCCCGUUCAUAAGGCCGGUUUUGGAAUCUGUUUCGUGGCAAUAUAUAGUUAUUCUUGUAUUCUCCCGUCUGUACUAAUGCAUUAUAUGAGUGAUGUAUCUAGGGUUCAUCAGUGAUAUCAAUGUCAUAUUUUAUAAUACAUACUAAUCUCAGCACUGCCUAAAGUUACUUCAGUGACACAUGAUAGAUAUAUGCAACAACCUGAGUUCACUUCCAGAGAAAUUUUUCUUUUGUGGAAAGCGCUAACAAGAUGGUAAUUCUUAGUGUUUUUUUGUUGUUUGUUUGUUUGUCUGUUUUUCAUCUAUGAAUUUAGCCCAAAUUUUAUUUUCGACUUUGUUUCCUAAAUUGGCAAACUGAUCCCUUUGGAAUAUAUAGAAAUGGAUGUUGUGUAUGUAUAGUGUUAAUAUUAAUAGCAUGCGUGCAUGACACUGUAUUAAAUACAUAAGUAUAGCUUCUUCUAAUGUUACGUAAUAUCUUAAUUUCUGUUCCUCAUGUAGAUGACCAUCACGUGAGGGACACUUGUAAUCUAAGUUGAAUGAGUACAUGAUAUGAUUUUUAUACAAUUAUGGAUUUUUACAAAUAAAAAACUUUGUAUGAAAUCAAAUACACAAACAGUCACUCAAAACUCUAGUUGUGUUGUUGUUUUUUAAAUCUUUGGAUGCAGAUUCCUCUUUGGUUUUUCAGUCUCUUUGAGAUAAUAUCAAAAACAAACAUUUGUACAUUCUCAGAUUGGUAAAAAUGAUUUUUUUUCAAGACACAACCCGAUAGAAGCCUACAGCUGAGAGAAACCUAGAUUCGGAAAAUAGAAUAAACAGAGAGGAAAAAAUAUAUAUAUUCAAGAGUGUUCUAAACCAACUUCAAAAGAUACCAAUAAUAAGCGAAUAAUGGAGAUAAAAUAACAAAAUAAUCAAUGAAGAUCACGUGACUUAUCAGGUUUGUAGUUCAGGAGUAACUUUAAUGUAGUAGAUUGUCAACGUGUCGACGUAAAAAUAAAGAUUGACGUCGCCUUUCUUGUAAAGUACAUAUCUUGCCAUAUCAAAAUAAAGAAUUGUAUCUUUA
RNAcentral lists this unclassified non-coding RNA (6125 nucleotides) under Penaeus japonicus. RNAcentral describes it as "spondin-1-like, transcript variant X3". The record is from RNAcentral. Lineage: Eukaryota; Metazoa; Arthropoda; Malacostraca; Decapoda; Penaeidae.